Molecule: non-coding RNA, 62 nt
Filed under: Nematostella vectensis (starlet sea anemone)
Lineage: Eukaryota; Metazoa; Cnidaria; Anthozoa; Actiniaria; Edwardsiidae
Source: RNAcentral
CUUUUAAUGCUGCCUAGCCUUUGAGCUAGAAGGUCCCAAGCCCUUAUAAAGCAGAGGGAAAG